GACGUAGGGCGCGAGCGUUGUCCGGAUUUAUUGGGCGUAAAGAGCUCGUAGGCGGCUUGUCGCGUCGAAUGUGAAAACUCGGGGCUCAACUCCGAGCUUGCAUUCGAUACGGGCAGGCCAGAGUUCGGUAGGGGAGACUGGAAUUCCUGGUGUAGCGGUGAAAUGCGCAGAUAUCAGGAGGAACACCGGUGGCGAAGGCGGGUCUCUGGGCCGAUACUGACGCUGAGGAGCGAAAGCGUGGGGAGCGAACAGG
RNAcentral lists this ribosomal RNA (253 nucleotides) under uncultured bacterium. RNAcentral's name for it is "partial 16S ribosomal RNA". It matches the Rfam family "Bacterial small subunit ribosomal RNA", at positions 524 to 776 of the family's 1533-position model. The record is from RNAcentral.